CCCACACAAAUGCCUUCACGGCUUGCAGUUGUGACAGUGUAGCACAGAGAGAGAGUCUCUCUAGCAGCAACAUUCCAGCCCAUUUAGGGCUUUAUAGAUCAAAACCUGCAGUUUAAAUCAAUCUAAAAAACAACAGAUAGAUUUACUGCUAUGUGAUCAUCCAACAAGACAACAGCUUGGGAUCCAUACAACGCCUGCUGUGCAAACACAGUAGCCUUGGAUAUCCUUGAAAGGUCACCCUAAGCAG
Molecule: long non-coding RNA, 247 nt
Organism: Mauremys reevesii (Reeves's turtle)
Lineage: Eukaryota; Metazoa; Chordata; Testudines; Geoemydidae
Exons: 3
Source: RefSeq, a predicted model, not a curated record